RNAcentral lists this ribosomal RNA (216 nucleotides) under uncultured fungus. RNAcentral describes it as "partial small subunit ribosomal RNA". The stretch from base 28 to 216 matches the Rfam family "Eukaryotic small subunit ribosomal RNA", at positions 674 to 864 of the family's 1831-position model. The record is from RNAcentral. Lineage: Eukaryota; Fungi.
GGAUCAUCAGGUUGGUCGUGCCUCUGGUAUGUACUUUCCUCGAUGGUUCUUCCUUCUUGAAGAUCCGUAAUGUCAUUAAUUUGGUGUUGCGGGGAAUCAGGACUGUUACUUUGAAAAAAUUAGAGUGUUUAAAGCAAGCAAACGCUUGAAUACAUUAGCAUGGAAUAAUGAAAUAGGACGUUCGAACCUAUUUUGUUGGUUUCUAGGAUUGACGUA